GCGCUCGUAGCUCAACUGGAUAGAGUGUCGGCCUCCGAAGCCGAAGGUUGUGGGUUCGACCCCCGCCGGGCGCA
RNAcentral lists this transfer RNA (74 nucleotides) under Verrucomicrobiota bacterium. RNAcentral describes it as "Verrucomicrobia bacterium (freshwater metagenome) tRNA-Arg". It matches the Rfam family "tRNA". From Rfam's summary of the family: Transfer RNA (tRNA) molecules are approximately 80 nucleotides in length. Their secondary structure includes four short double-helical elements and three loops (D, anti-codon, and T loops). The record is from RNAcentral. RNAcentral also lists the same sequence under 2 other names. Lineage: Bacteria; Pseudomonadati; Verrucomicrobiota.